This is a long non-coding RNA of Chelonia mydas (Green sea turtle), 5612 nucleotides long. RefSeq lists it as uncharacterized. Lineage: Eukaryota; Metazoa; Chordata; Testudines; Cheloniidae. The record is from RefSeq and is a predicted model, not a curated record. The transcript is spliced from 4 exons.
UUCAUGCAGGUCCCCACAUCUGUACCCUAGAGUUCAGAGUGGGGAAGGAACCCUGACAGGAGGUAUUGUUACUUUCUUGAUUUUAAAAAAAUGGGACUGUUGGAUAACCCAGUGGAAAAGGGAACUGAAGAAAAUCAGGCUUCACUAAAGAACACCUGAGCAAUUGGGAUGGAAAUUAAGUUUGAGGAACAGGUAAUCAAAUUAGGCAAACAAGUUGGCUAUGGGCAGUGGCUUCAUAGAGAGACAGAUUCUCCUCAUCUCUAACAAAAGGGAGUAAAUUAGCUGUACCUACACAAACAAGUUGUCUUGCUGGUCCCUUUUCAAGAAUGAUAUAGAUUAAUACACUCUAGCAUAGAGGCCUAUUAUUCAUAUAGCUGAGAAGAACAUACCUCAUCCAUGAAAUGGGGUGGGGGAGAAGCUUGGGGAAGGUGUCCUGUAGAUAGAAUUGUUUAAAAUCCUAAAUUUGUCAAACUAAACUACUUAUAGCCCAGUUGGCUGGAUUUGAGUUGAUAUGCUCUUCAGUAGGAAAUCAUAGAGACUAGCACAGCUUUUCUGAGGCGCCACAUAGUUUGAAUAAGCAUUUGUGGUAUAAGCAAGGGGGCAUAUGAUUAAUAGCUAUAAAAUCAUGAAUGAGGGUGAGAAAGUGAAUAGCAAACUGUGACUUACCCCUUCACAUAACAACCUAACCACCAGGGGUCACCCAAUGAAAUUAAUAGGUAACAAGUUUAAGACAAAGUACUUCACACAAAGCCCAGUCAACCUGUGGAACUCAUUGCUAUAGGAUGGAGAGAAGGCCAAAACUGGGUUUAAAAAAAGUAUUACGUUCAUGGAGGAGAGUCUUCAGUCCCUACUAGCAAAGAUGGUCAGGGAAAUGAGCCAAUGCUCAAGCUGUCCCUAAACCUCCAGCUGGGAGAGCCUCCAACUGGACAACAGGAGUUGGAUCACUUGAUAAUUGCCCUGUUUUGUCUAUUCCCGCCAAAGCCUCUAGCACUGGCUGCUGUCAGAAGACAGGAUACUUGGCUAGGUGGACCAAUGUUUUGCCUAGCAAUAGGCUAUAAUUUAAAGUUUCCAAUUGUGAGCUCCAACCUCUGUCAAAUACAGCAGUAUGAUCACUUUUCAACCAGGCUGAAAAGCAACCCCUUCAUCAGUACUGUGAAAUAAUGUUUUUAUCCAGUUACCUUGCUGUGUUUAUUACAAUCUGAAAGGAAAUAGAGCAUUCACUGUCCCUGGGCUUGGGGUCCAUUUUUAAGUGGUUAACAAAAACAAAUUACACUUCAUUUUGUGUAGCACAACUAAUAUUAAAGUAUCUGUAUCCUUACCUUUUAAAAAAAAAAUCAGUUUCCUCUCAAAUAUUUAUUUAGCAAAAAAGCUCAUCUUUAUUAGAGUGGGGAGGCAAUAUAUGCUUAUAGAGAAAACAAGUAAAAAUGGUAAAGCUUACUAGAGCUGUACCUUUGUUUCACUCCAUAUGCAGGCCUCAAAAAUAAAAUGUAUUCCUGUGUAUCACUGAUGCUUUGAAUAUGAAAUCUGCUCCUGGACAUAGAAUCAGCUGAUUUUGCUUGAACCUCUUUGACGCAACACCACAACUAAUUAGCAUCAGAAGUGUCCCACUCAUUGCUCAACACAUAUCUGCCAGUAACUUGGUCCUUUAUUUAAUUCACACAUUAAAAAGUACUAUUUCACAGACAACCCCAUUGGAAAAAUGUAUCCUAGAAAAACACUACUGAAUUAAGCAGGGAAUACUAUCCCAUUGAUUAGAAGCCUAUUUAUUCCAGAUGCUAAAACAUGAUUAAACUAUAAAAUCCUCAGACUGCAACCACUUUUCAUCAGGGAGCUGAAGUGCAGUCACUUUUCCUUACAGAACUGAAAGAAGGGGAAUAUAGUCUCAUAAUUAGCUAGAGCCACAUUCUGCUGUUUACUCUCAUUAAGUAUUGCCCCACUCUACAAGUAGUCCCAGAGAUUUCAGUGAGUCUACUCAUGGUUUGAAAUACUAUUCUUUGUGAGUAAAGAUAUCAGAAUCUGGUCUCAAGGUUGCUAACAAAGUCCUAAACUUACUUCAAGUCCAGGUAACAAGAUAUCCAGGCCAAUUUCAUGUCGUUUUCCUUACUUCACCAUGACCAUAUACUUCUUGGUUGAGAAACAUAUUUUGUGGAAACUCUGAUGAUGCAGAUUACAAAGCCACCCUGUAGACUCACUCUUUGCCAACGCCCUGGCCUGCUAGAUGCUCUGCUCACCAUUCAAUGGCUGCCUUUGAAGAGUAAUAAUUGCAUUCACAUAGUGCUAUUUCAGUGUAAAAAUUAAUUACUGUAGUCUCCCAUGACCAUUCCACAAUGUGGCUAUUUUAGUGAAUGUACUUAUUUUACUGAUCAUCUUAGUUCCAAAAAAGGCCAAAACAAAAGUCACCAACACUUCAACAUUCCAUGUUCAUAUUUUAUACAUGCUCAAUAAACUUACAAAUAAAUAAUGUAUAGGCCUCGGAACUAAAACCUGUAAGUACAUUUGUUUAAUAUCAGCUGAAGAAUGGGAAUUAAAAAUUAUUUAAUUUUUUCCAUCUGGAUAACUUUGACUUCAGCCAUUAAAUAUGAUGGGCAUAUGAACUGUUUUGUUAUCAUAUUUGGAGAUGAGGCCCAAUCAUGCAUCACUGGGAGUCAAAACAUAGGUGUAAUUAAGGGUAACAUUUGGUUCUUUGUAUCUACAACCACAUUCUACAUUUGGUUAUUAUGGAGAAAGCUCUCAGGCUGUAGUGAUCAGUCUGAUUAGUUAGUAUGUGUUUUUUACAUUGCUAAGAACUAAUGAUUGGUAAAUUCAAUGGGAGUUCUAUUCAAUAAAUAACCCCAGACUUUAGUCCUUUCUGAAUGGCUGGAAGGUUCAUUGAGUACAUAUUACCUUGAUUCAAAGGAUCCAUUUGAAAUUUUAUAUUUUAACUACACGAUAGUUUCCAUACUUUAGCUAAGCAAAAUUAGGGUAAAGUGUGUUUUGCUUAUAAAUCAAUUUCCUUGUAUGGUCUUGAGUACUAAUAUAGCAUAUUGCAAAUAAGUUACAAUUUACUGAUGAUAUUCUGCCAAGAACUAUUUAACAUUUAAAAAACUACUCUUACACUGUCUACAUAGUGUGAUGGUGUCAACAGCAUCAAAGUACAUGAUCCUGUGUUGAAGCUUUGAGCAUCCAGUGUUGUAGAACAUGCAAGGUAAGCAUGGAGCUGAGAGAAUCCAAUGGACCGAUUGAAAUAAUUUGGAAUGUUCACUUGUGAUAGGCCCUGGCAGCAGGAAAUUGAGGACACAAAACUACAGAUUUUUUUAAAAAGCAAAGAGUCACACGUGUGGUAUUUCCCAAUAAAUUGGUGUAGUGGGUUUUCCUGGAUUAAGGAGGAAAACUAUUCUUCCUCUUUUUGCCAUAGUGCUGUAGUCCCUUUUGUGCCUGUUCAUAAGAACACAUUUUCAAAUCUAAACUCUUCCUCCCUUUUUGUAUCAAUGAUCCACUUAAUUAACUGGUGCACUUCUGUGCUAAUAACCACUUUUUAAGACAGCUUUUAAGCAGUAAUAAAUCUCACAAUAUAGCAACUCAGUUUAAGGUAUCAAAUGAUGAUACGGCUGCUUCACACAUCAUAAGGUCACAGACUCCAUGUUAAAGUCAUUGUGAAGUCAUUACUUGAAACUAGUUGUACAGAAAUCAGAUAAAUCCAGUCUCAAGCCAACACCUAAACUGAUUACAUCAUGUCUUUCUGUGCCAGGUGAGUAACUUUGUUUCUUUUGGUGAAAUUUGGUACAAUUUAGUUUAUAAUAAAAUAGGUUUACACUCAAAUUUAUAUUAGAGUCAUUAUGUAUUCAAAUAAAAUACUGUGUGUUCUUUUAAAAUAUUUAUCUGUGAAUAUAAAUAAGUACUUUGUUAUGCACAAAAAUUAAAAUAUAUUUGAAAUAGCAUGUGUGUGAAUUAUUUUACAUAAAAUAAUUGAACCUGUAUCAUUAUUUGAUCUAUUUUAUUUUUCUUACUCUCAGAGACCAUCUUUAAUUUCUACACCAACAGUCUUUUCAGACCAUAAAAUGGACAACAAAUCAAAAGUGGAUCUUACUGAUCUAGGGAGGAGGAACUUUCUGAUGUACCAAAAUGUGACAAAUACAAGGAACAUGCAAGCCGAAGUCAUGAAAGCUAACCUCGUUUCCACUUCAGGUUGUGGUCCUGUAAUGGACAGAAAACUACUCAACUACAUCAAAGUCAUAGAUUCCAUCAAACCGUGGAGGACUGCUGGGAAGCCCUUUGUGUGCGACCGAUUCAGUCUCUGGGCUAGUUAGAGGAAAGGACAGAAGAAAAUGAAGCCCAAACAGAUAAUCGCAGCUACUGUGUCCUUCCUGUUUCACUCACCUGCCAGUACAAAUCCAGGGUGCCUUCCUAGGUGUUGUCUACUGUAGCUUCUUUCCUUCAUCUGCCAUGAAAAACAUUCAGUCAAUGAGAAGGAGUGUUGAUUUUUACUUCUUACAGUACCUUUUAAAAAUUAACCAUAAGAAUAUUUAAUAUAGAAAGAUAUACAGCAAAGAGUAAUUAGAUUGGUGUGACACAACUGUCCUAUAUCUGCAGUCUCCCUUCCAUGCCUGUUGGGGAAUUGUUAUAAUUUUUAAUGUGAGCCAAAGUAUCUUACAUUUUAUACAGCACCUUUCAUCCUAAAGUGCUGCCCAAACAGUAUACAGAAUACUCCACUUUAAUGAUAUCACUUACUUGCAUAUCCCGCAUAUCCAUGUAAGGGUUCUUCACUGGCCCAGUUGGAUUCCUUGUAUUAUUCAACUUAGCUAUAUUCACCUAGCUGUAUUCAAAACUGAGGUCCAAAUGCUGCUUGUUACAAUGUAAUCACUUUGGAUGACUGAACAAUCAGGAUACUAGUCAAACUGCACCUAUUUAUCCAUUAUGCUCUUAAAGACGUGACAGUUCAUAUGCAUGACAGAAUGGGUGAAAAGCUAUAUCUCCUGUUAGCACAGCAUCUUGCAUGUGCAGUGGAUGGUCAUAAAAAAAAGCCCUGCUUCUAGUAUCACAGUCUAUAUAGACGCUCAAGCCCUCUCCUUACAUUAUACAUGGAUGCAUGGAACUUCCUGUCAUUCCACGUAAAUAUCUAGUGGAGGAACAAGACUUCCAUACUGCCAAGUGGCGCAAGAUACUAGAGCAGUUAUAGUGAUACAGCAACUGGGAGUUCAAAUUUUAUUAGACCCAAGCUUAAAUCCUUAACUUUUUUUAAAGAUUGAUUUGUGUGUAUGUUGAGACUAGGAUAAAAGGAUUUUUUUUUAAAUGUAGAUCCAGGGAAUCUGAGUAUUUCUAAACUGGGGCACCAAAUACUGAGGUCCGUGUUUAAAAUGUACUCACUCCAGCAAUACUUCUUACUGCAGUCCUCACUCCAGCUACACUCCAGUUGAAAUCAAGGAUCUCAGGAUUCAGCCUCUACCCUUAGAGCACUAAGAAUAUGCACAUCUUUUACAUUUUAAAAGUUGCACAUUUGUUAUGUAUAAACAACAACAAUGAAUACCAGUACUAUCUGUAAUACCGGAAAUGGACAAGUACAAGGGAGGAUGGAAGAUGAUAUGGCAAAAAAUAUGAUGCUUUCCCUGAAAAAGAACCAAAUGCACUUAAACUAU